ACUGCUCAGUAACACGUGGAUAAUCUGCCCUAAGGUCAGGCAUAACUCCGGGAAACUGGUGAUAAUUCCUGAUAAGCUAUAGAUACUGGAAUGUUCUGUAGCUCAAAGCUCCGGCGCCUUAGGAUGAAUCUGCGGCCUAUCAGGUUGUAGUGGGUGUAGUGUACCUACUAGCCUACGACGGGUACGGGUUGUGAGAGCAAGAGCCCGGAGAUGGAUUCUGAGACAUGAAUCCAGGCCCUACGGGGCGCAGCAGGCGCGAAAACUUUACAAUGCGGGAAACCGCGAUAAGGGGAUACUGAGUGCCAGCAUAUUAUGUUGGCUGUCCACCUGUAUAAACAGCAGGUGUUAGCAAGGGCCGGGCAAGACCGGUGCCAGCCGCCGCGGUAACACCGGCGGCCCGAGUGGUGGCCACUAUUAUUGGGUCUAAAGGGUCCGUAGCCGGUUUGAUCAGUCUUCCGGGAAAUCUGACAGCUCAACUGUUAGGCUUCCGGGGGAUACUGUCAGACUUGGGACCGGGAGAGGUAAGAGGUACUACAGGGGUAGGAGUGAAAUCUUGUAAUCCUUGUGGGACCACCAGUGGCGAAGGCGUCUUACCAGAAC
RNAcentral lists this ribosomal RNA (600 nucleotides) under uncultured archaeon. Its description in RNAcentral is "bacterial SSU rRNA". It matches the Rfam family "Archaeal small subunit ribosomal RNA", at positions 85 to 686 of the family's 1478-position model. The record is from RNAcentral.